Nyctereutes procyonoides (raccoon dog) is the source of this 435-nucleotide long non-coding RNA. RefSeq lists it as uncharacterized. Lineage: Eukaryota; Metazoa; Chordata; Mammalia; Carnivora; Canidae. The transcript has 3 exons. The record is from RefSeq and is a predicted model, not a curated record.
UAGAGGAUGUGAAAGCACAGGGGAAACUGCCACUCUAAAAACUGAAGAGACCUGCAAAUACAGUGAAUGACCACCUACUUCAAGUAGAAGCUGCCAGAGCCAGUUACUGGUAGGAAGACUUAAAAAGUAAUUCCUGGAGGCUGUGGACCAACUUAAGGGUUAAAGACUCCUGGAGCAAAGUCUUAAGGGACCCCACACUUGUGGGUUUUACCACCAAAAGCCCACCAACAUAUUAAGACUGGUACUACAGUGUAACAGUACAAAGAUGGAGGAGAUGCAACACGCACUGGUUACUAUGUACUAAACUGUGGAGAAGAUCCGGUUGCCUGGGAUGAUGUCAAUCUGCAUGACUCCGGCUCCGAGGUUUCUGAAGAUGGACUGCUUAGCAUGUUCAUUUUUGAAUGAAUGAAUCAGGCCAUGGCCUGUCAAUCUCCA